This 30-nucleotide non-coding RNA is filed under the name Mus musculus (house mouse). The record is from RNAcentral. Lineage: Eukaryota; Metazoa; Chordata; Mammalia; Rodentia; Muridae.
UAAUAAUUUAUCAAGAAAAUGCCCACAGGC